AUGUUCUCUCGGCUGAGGAAC
This 21-nucleotide microRNA is filed under the name Brachypodium distachyon (stiff brome). RNAcentral's name for it is "bdi-miR7754-5p". Lineage: Eukaryota; Viridiplantae; Streptophyta; Magnoliopsida; Poales; Poaceae. The record is from miRBase by way of RNAcentral.